GAUGAACGCUGGCGGCGUGCCUAAUACAUGCAAGUCGAGCGAACAGACGAGGAGCUUGCUCCUCUGACGUUAGCGGCGGACGGGUGAGUAACACGUGGAUAACCUACCUAUAAGACUGGGAUAACUUCGGGAAACCGGAGCUAAUACCGGAUAAUAUAUUGAACCGCAUGGUUCAAUAGUGAAAGACGGUUUUGCUGUCACUUAUCGAUGGAUCCGCGCCGCAUUAGCUAGUUGGUAAGGUAACGGCUUACCAAGGCAACGAUGCGUAGCCGACCUGAGAGGGUGAUCGGCCACACUGGAACUGAGACACGGUCCAGACUCCUACGGGAGGCAGCAGUAGGGAAUCUUCCGCAAAGGGCGAAAGCAUGACGGAGCAACGCCGCGUGAGUGAUGAAAGUCUUCGGAUCGUAAAACUCUGUUAUUAGUGAAGAACAAAUGUGUAAGUAACUGUGCACGUCUUGACGGUACCUAAUCAGAAAGCCACGGCUAACUACGUG
This 497-nucleotide ribosomal RNA is filed under the name uncultured bacterium. RNAcentral's name for it is "partial 16S ribosomal RNA". It matches the Rfam family "Bacterial small subunit ribosomal RNA", at positions 28 to 507 of the family's 1533-position model. The record is from RNAcentral.